RNAcentral lists this ribosomal RNA (254 nucleotides) under uncultured bacterium. Its description in RNAcentral is "partial 16S ribosomal RNA". It matches the Rfam family "Bacterial small subunit ribosomal RNA", at positions 102 to 353 of the family's 1533-position model. The record is from RNAcentral.
ACGGGUGAGUAACGCGUGAGUAACCUGCCUUCAAGAGGGGGAUAACAUUCUGAAAAGAAUGCUAAUACCGCAUGACAUAUCGGAACCACAUGGUUUUGAUAUCAAAGAUUUUAUCGCUUGAAGAUGGACUCGCGUCCGAUUAGUUAGUUGGUGAGGUAACGGCUCACCAAGACCGCGAUCGGUAGCCGGACUGAGAGGUUGGACGGCCACAUUGGGACUGAGACACGGCCCAGACUCCUACGGGAGGCAGCAUG